Non-coding RNA from Etheostoma cragini (Arkansas darter), 456 nucleotides. NCBI's taxonomy places the organism in Eukaryota, Metazoa, Chordata, Actinopteri, Perciformes, Percidae. The record is from the annotation of a RefSeq genome assembly.
ACAACUGACAGUUUCAUACAUAUCGGAGAGACUUUGAACAGACAUUAGUUCAUUGAAGAGAGUUUGAUGGGAAAUAUGAUUGUCUGGGGUUUAUUUUUUGUUGUUACUAUUAAUGGAGUUUGGAGUGAGAUCAAACUGGACCAGUCUCCCUCUGAGGUGAAAAGACCUGGGGAGACAGUGAAGAUGUCAUGUGUCAUAUCUGGUUUUGACAUGACAAGCUACUAUAUUCACUGGAUACGACAGAGACCAGGGGAAGCUCUGGAGUGGAUUGGGAGGAUGGAUACAGGUUCAAACUCUGCUAGCUAUGGCAGCUCCUUUCAAAGCCGUUUCAUCAUGACUGAAGAUGUUCCCAGCAGAACUCAGUACCUGGAGGUCCAGAGCCUGACAGCAGCAGAUUCUGCCGUUUACUUCUGUGCUCGACAGACACAGUGACUGGAGACAGUGGAGCAGCUGCAC